RNAcentral lists this unclassified non-coding RNA (485 nucleotides) under Hevea brasiliensis (rubber tree). Lineage: Eukaryota; Viridiplantae; Streptophyta; Magnoliopsida; Malpighiales; Euphorbiaceae. The record is from RNAcentral.
GGACAAAGCUACAAAAUACGAUGCAGAACGAAAAAGAACAAGAUCAAUACAAGAGAUAUUCAUAUGAUUUUUCAAAUUUUAAAAUUUCACAAUCCCAAAGUGUAUUCAUGCUUCAAGGUGGCUUUAAUCAUUCAAGCUAAAUGGCCUGCCUCCAAAUGAGUAAAACAACGUUGAGUUAAUCCAUAUUUGUUGUACUAAUAAUGAGAUAAAUUACCUUAGGAGAUCAAGUAUGACUUCGUUCAUCAAAGAAGUAAAGAUCUCAAUCUCCAACUCUAAAAUCAUCUCUUCUUUUUCUUCAUCAAAAUUUCUCCAGUUCCCUUUCCUCUCCAUUUCUCUAAGGUAGACAACCCUGGAAUCCUUCACCUCCCACCCCAAAAACAUUUCUUGUGGAUGCCCAUUUAUCCAAUCUUGUGCUACCUCUAACUCUUUCUCCAAGUCUUUAUUUUGUCCUUCUACCAUGCUACCACUUGCUUUGUUUUCCAUAA